Molecule: non-coding RNA, 1889 nt
Organism: Nicotiana tabacum (common tobacco)
Lineage: Eukaryota; Viridiplantae; Streptophyta; Magnoliopsida; Solanales; Solanaceae
Source: RefSeq, a predicted model, not a curated record
GUUUAUGACUAGAUUUGAAGCUUCAGACGAAUUCACGAGGCGAAGGCUUGUUGAAAUUUUGAAUUGGUAGCAAAGCGAGUUUCAGCCUACAAGAACCAGUGUAUCAAAUUUAUGUACCUGGUAUUUGGAAAGCAAAGAGAAGAAGAGGAAGAUCAGCAGGAAGUGUGCAACAAACAACAACGCAACAGCCACAGCAAUAAUCGCUAAACCAGUAAUCAGAAAUCCCAGUAGUACUGGAAAACCAAUUUGUGAUUUUCAGAAAAACCAAACAUAUAUACCAGAAACCCAGGAAUGAUACCAAAAUACCGACAGUAUCACAAGAAAAAAUAGAAUGUAUUCAGAAAUGAGAUAUGACAGUAGAUUUUCUGAUUUCUGUUCUUUCGACUCCCAAAUAAAGACACUAGACCCUCAAUUUAAACAGUAACAAACUGAUUCUGACUUUCAAUAGUGAAAGAAAGUAGAUCUCCUCAGUUUAAACUCUCGAACUCUGGAAUUUUUAAGGUUCAAAAAGCCCUAUUUCUGUUUUUGUUUUAUUUCUGAAAAUCUGCUCUCUCCAAUUUCCUUCUGAAAAUUUCAGCUUAUAUCUUUACUUAAACUCUCAAUUUCUAACCAAAAAAAAAUUCCCCCCUCCUUUAUGUCAGAUUCACAACUUCUUAAAUAAGCAUUUCAGUUAGUGCAUCCUCCACUUAAUAUUCUACUUUUCAUUUCUUAAUUAACCCAUUAUACUAGUGCUGAUUAUUUUAACAAUUAGUGCACCUUUCAGCCCCUUAAAAUCAGCAACAAGUGUCAUUCCCAUUAAGAGGUGUUUUCACUUAGUCUAAUAGCAGCCCUAGUUUAAUUAGUAGGUAUCCUAAUUCCCAAACUACCCCUUAAACUACCCCUGAUAUUACUGUAUUGCCCUAAGUUUACUAGUCUGGAAUUAAAAAGUUCAAACCCAAAACUGAUUUCUAACUAUCUCCUAAUUGUUUACAGUUAUAUCCCAAUUCAUAUCCUAAGCUCAACUCAAAAUCAGAUCACAAGGGGUGUCAAUCAAAUGACAUGAGUUGAUCAAAUUGGAAACCAAUCCUGAUCAGCUCAUAUCAGAUGAUCAACAGGGAGAAAACAAUGAAGCAAGCUUCUUUCAAUACAAGCUUAAACACAGAGAAGAAAAACAUGCUGGUAAUUACACUGAAACGAACAAAAUCAUGCUUCUCUAAUUUUUUAAUCGAUUUUAAUUGACGAUACUUAUUUAAUCGACUAUAUGAACUAUUAUAUGUAACAACUAAUCAACAAACAACAUAUACUAAACAGGUCACCAAAUGACUCCAACUUUUUGGACACUUAGCAGGGAACCUAUCUAAAACACUUAAUGAGUUUUAGUCCAGUUGAACACAUAGUUCAUCAUACAUAUAUGUUUAACAGUCAAACAGAAAAAUCGACCAAAUAAAAGAUCUGUGGAAGAUGAACAGAACUGAAAGAAAAAUAUAAUAAAAUCACAUCAAUUAAACUAACAUACAAACAAACAACAAAUAAUACACAAAAUAUGAAUAGAAGGAAAAGAAAGACUUAUCUUUGAAAGCUCAUGAAUAAAGGACCCAGAGCUCAAGUGGACUCGACCAUUUUAGGUCGAAUGGACCUUAAUCAGGGUGUUCUCAGUUGAGAACACCUAGAUUAAGGUCUAUUAGACCUCAAUCUCCCGCUAAUUUGGACAAACCCCCAACUUUUGGAUUUCUAGGGUUCACAGGGGUGUUUUUGGGAUUCGAGGGUUUCUGGUUAGAUUCGAACCCAACCUUCGUUGGUUUAGGCCUAAGGGGGGUCAGGGGAGUGUUAGGUAUCAGUUUGGGAUGGUUUGGAAUGGGUUGAGUCUUGGCUCGAAUCUUCGAUUGAAGAUUCGAGCAGAUGCUGCUAGA